AGUCGAGCGGCAGCGACUUAACUGAACCUUCGGGGAACGUUAAGGGCGGCGAGCGGCGGACGGGUGAGUAAUGCUUGGGAAUAUGCCCUGAUGUGGGGGAUAACUAUUGGAAACGAUAGCUAAUACCGCAUAAUCUCUUCGGAGCAAAGAGGGGGACCUUCGGGCCUCUCGCGUCAGGAUUAGCCCAGGUGGGAUUAGCUUGUUGGUGAGGUAAUGGCUCACCAAGGCAACGAUCCCUAGCUGGUCUGAGAGGAUGAUCAGCCACACUGGAACUGAGACACGGUCCAGACUCCUACGGGAGGCAGCAGUGGGGAAUAUUGCACAAUGGGGGAAACCCUGAUGCAGCCAUGCCGCGUGUGUGAAGAAGGCCUUCGGGUUGUAAAGCACUUUCAGUAGGGAGGAAGGUAGUGUAGUUAACACCUGCACUAUUUGACGUUACCUACAGAAGAAGCACCGGCUAACUCCGUGCCAGCAGCCGCGGUAAUACGGAGGGUGCGAGCGUUAAUCGGAAUUACUGGGCGUAAAGCGCAUGCAGGCGGCCUGUUAAGUCAGAUGUGAAAGCCCGGGGCUUAACCUCGGAAUUGCAUUUGAAACUGGCAGGCUAGAGUCUUGUAGAGGGGGGUAGAAUUUCAGGUGUAGCGGGUGAAAUGCGUAGAGAUCUGAAGGAAUACCAGUGGCGAAGGCGGCCCCCUGGAC
RNAcentral lists this ribosomal RNA (696 nucleotides) under uncultured Photobacterium sp. RNAcentral's name for it is "bacterial SSU rRNA". It matches the Rfam family "Bacterial small subunit ribosomal RNA", at positions 60 to 734 of the family's 1533-position model. Lineage: Bacteria; Pseudomonadati; Pseudomonadota; Gammaproteobacteria; Vibrionales; Vibrionaceae. The record is from RNAcentral.